AUCAAACGAGUUUGCGUGGCAUCCGGGGCACAGGUCGACGACUCUCACCUUGACAGUGGGAGUUCCCGAACAGCCUCCGGAGCCGGACACAGCGCCUUUGCAAGUUAUCUCGAACAAUGAGAUUUCCCGGCGGGAACUUGCUCGUGUCGAAGCCAUAGCAGGACGAGGCUGCAGUGGCUUGUGAGAACACUUUCUGGAAGAAGAAAUGGAGAUUCACUUACGAA
Long non-coding RNA from Selaginella moellendorffii, 224 nucleotides. RefSeq lists it as uncharacterized. The transcript is spliced from 2 exons. The record is from RefSeq and is a predicted model, not a curated record. Lineage: Eukaryota; Viridiplantae; Streptophyta; Lycopodiopsida; Selaginellales; Selaginellaceae.